UUGACUUCGCUCUUCCGUCAGAAAUUUGGUUGCCUUUCAGGAAUCCGAAUAGAAAAUUCAGUUUGUUUCACACUUCCGAGAAUACAGUUUCGGGUUUCCUAUAAAAAUUCGGCAGUUUUUUACUUCGGUUGGACCCAGGGACACUUUUAUUUCAUAGAUGUCCAUGGGCCUUGGUCCUGUGCCCCCUUCAAUCAUCGUUGGAGGGGACAGUCCCCAAAAUGUCUUACUUCAGUUGGACCCAACGACACUUUUAUUCGUAGAUGUCUAUCGUCAUCUUCAUCGUCAUCGCCACUUGGUCUUGUGCCGCCUUCAAACAUCGUUGGAUGGAACAGUGCUGUACUGUUCCUUCAAAACUCUUAAACAGAUCGUCUUCGUGUCCUAUUUUAUCAAAAACUUAAUAUAUUUUGAUACUAUCAAUAAAUAUAUUUU
Molecule: small RNA, 429 nt
Filed under: Drosophila pseudoobscura pseudoobscura
Lineage: Eukaryota; Metazoa; Arthropoda; Insecta; Diptera; Drosophilidae
Description: GA32631
Source: RNAcentral